GACCUCCCACCCACCAUACAGGGGAACACUCGGCAGAGCCAGAGGCCUGGGCCCAAGUCCUGCCACCAGCUGGCUGUGAAACUGUGGUACAGCACCUUGUGUCCUGCCACCAGCCGGCUGUGAAACUGGUACAGCACCUUGUCCUCAGGUCCUUGGUUUCCUCACUUGUAAAUUCAUGGUUCUCCAUGGCAUCUCUGGUCUUCAACAUUAUUUUGCAUAGAGUCUCAGAAGCUUUAGUGUGAGCGGAUGAUAUGGGCACGAAGCAAGGCACCCAGAAGUGGGGGCAACUACUCUGCUUUCUAAAAUGCAAGGGAACCGGAAAAUCCAGGAGCCGUGCCAAAUGAGAAGAGGAACAAAUGGAGGAACAUCCCAGUCAAGUGACAUUCCUAGUGACAUUCACCAGAACAGAGUCAAGCUUUGGAUCCCAUGUUCUGUGACUUCCUCUUCACCACGCUUCCUCCACACACGUAGCAGCUCAAGGGUUUCUGAUGAGUGGGGUCUAUGUUCCCUUUAUGAGCUGUAACGCACACCAUGAAGGUCUGCGGCUUGGCUAUUGAGUCAGUGAGAGCGUGAACCUACUAUUAGAAGAAAAACUCUGAAUACGUCUGAACGUCAGAAAGAACGAAGUUUGGACACAUUGUCUUUAAGAACUGUAACACUCACCCCAAGGGUUUAUGGAUUCAUUCUUGAAAUCAGUGAAACCAAAAGCUUUCCAAAGUUUAACACACAGGGAAAUGACUUACUGCAAAGAACCACUCUUCCCCACGAGACUUCGAGAAGACCCGCUGUCACGGACUGAGUUGUGUCCUCUUAAAAUUCAGAUGUUGGAGUCCAAACCCCCAGUAACUCAGAGUGUGAACGUAUUUGAAGAGGUCUUUAAAGAGGUGAUGAAGGUCUUUGUCUCUGACAAUUUGCCUCUGUGACGUGGAUGGGACUGGAAGUCCAUUUGGAGCCCUGUCUUCUCCACCUAGGGAGAGAGACCCCAUGAGCUCGUCAAGCUCCUUCUGUGACUGAUCAGAGAUCCCACCGUGAGUCCAGCUCCUGGUCCCAUGCUCUGGAUAUAUCGGUCCCUGGCAGCGUGAGUGCCUCUGUGUUCACUGUCCCAUUUGAGAAUUCUAAGUAGAAUUCUGAACAGGCUGGAGCAGAUUGCCCACCCCAAGGGACAGAUGUUGGCUGGUACUGUUGGUAUUCAUGGAAGAUUCCUUCUGACACUCCCUCCUUCUUUGUAAUUGCCAUGAACUGGAGCACUGGGCCAAUAUAAAUCAUCCAAGGGUGAACACGCUGCACAUGGACGGCUCCUCUUUGUUUUUGAAGGGAUUCCAUCUCUAUUUUGCCAUGUGCUCCUUCACCCCACUCCCCACCCCCGUCUUUCAUUUCUUUCUCUGGAAAAGAUACUUCAACUCACAGGACUGCGAUGUUGAAACGGACACCCAAGAGCAUCACAGAUGGGCCAGGCCUGGACCUCUCGGGACAACAUUCCUCACGACUUUUAGAUAGAAGAGAUUAGAGAUUUGGGACUGGUGGCAACUGGUAACGUUUUCAGUGUUUGGUAAACAGCCAGGGUCCGGAGCUCUGGGAACAGCCUGAUUUAGCUCUUUGUUUAAGUUUUGUGUUAGAGGCUCCCAAGAAGCUGAUGCAGGGGAAAGAAAUUAACAACCAUGGCUCAUUCACAGCCAGGCAGCCAAAUGGACAGCUCUAUAAGACUCAAGCCGACAGCGGAGAGAGUGCAACCAAACAGCCUUGGCCCAGCUUUCAGAGGAGAACGUUAUUCACCCCAACUGCUCUGCAUCUGCCUGGAUGUCUGCCAAGAUCUGUGAGCAUUACAGCGUUGGUAUGCUUUGGGUGAGGCCUGUGGCUAUGGCAACAAGUUGGGAGCAACCCGGUCCCUGGGAAUGAGAACAGUGUCUAAAAUCAGGCAGGCGAGGGGCAGGGAGGAGAGGUAAAGGUUGGACUUGCCUGAAGAUGGAGCCGUUUUAUUGUUGUGGGUAAAGCUGCUACCAUUAGGGGCUGUUUACAGAGUGGGUGCAGCUCAAGCUGGGAGCAUGUUAGACUCAGCGACUACGAUCAACCUAUUGACUUGUUCCCAUGAGACAGAGUAAAUUAACUGUUGCAGUACUGGUCAUGUACCACCAACCUCCUGUGAACCAGCCCUCAGUGAAACAUUUAUGUGAAAGGCCAUGGUGUUCCCAUAAGAGGGUGCAUGUUCUCUCCCUUGACUAACUCUUCAGUAUGCCUCAUUCUCACGCGCUGGUGUGCAGGAAGGAGUCCAACAUGCCCCAUUGACAGUCAUGCCCUGUAUGUGGAAAGUCUUCAGGUAGAGCACUGGGCUCAGGUUUGAAGAUGUGAGUUCUAAUCCUAGCAAGGCCAUUACCUCCCAGUGACCUCAUGUCUCGAUUUCCUCAACCACAAAACAAAGGCAUUGGUGAGCUGACCUCUAAGGCCUCUCCAGUUCUCACCUUCUGUGUCUCUACAGACUGGAGACUAGAAGAUUAUGGGCACUUUUAUUGAGUCUUCAUUUUGUUUCCAUUUCUUUGUAGUCAUCAGCUGGAGUUGAGGACAAGUUUUAACAAUAGAUAGGUUUCUUUUUGUCUCUUUUUAAAAAAUUUUAUUUAAAAUAAAUGCCAAGUGUAGUGGCUCAUACCUGUAAUCCCAGCACUUUGGGGAGGCCAAGGUGGGAGGAUUGCUUUUGAGUUUGAGACCAGCCUGGGCAACGUGGUGAGACCCUGUUUGUACAAAAAAUUUUAAAUUAGCCAGGCAUGGUGGCGUGUGCCUAUAGUCCUAGCUACUCUGGAGGUAGAGGCAGGAGGAUCCCUUGAACCUGGGAGGUUGAGGCCACAGUGAGCUGUGAUUGUGCUAUUGAACUCUAGCCUGGGCAACAGAGCAAGACCCUGUCUCUUAAAAAAGACUAUUUUUUAAGAACACUUUUAGGUUCACAGCGAAAUUUGGAGGAAACUUGGCAUAUGUCAUAUGCCCCCUGCUCCCAUGCAUGCACAGCCUCUACCAUUAGCAAUGUCCCCACUCAAAUGGUACCUUUGUUGUAAUCAACAACCCUGUACUGACACAUCAUCAUCACCCAAACUCCAUAGUUCACAUUAGGUUUCACUCUUGGUGUGGUGUACAUUCCAUGGGCUUGAACAACUGUAUAAUGACAUUAUCCACCACUGCAGGAUCAUACAGAGUAGUCUCACUGCCCUAAAACUACUCUGUGCUCCACCUGUUUGUCCCUUCUUUCACUCUAAACUCCUGGCAACAACUGACCUUUUUACUGCCUCGAUAGCUUUGCCUUCUUCGGAAUGUCAUGUAGUUGAAAUCAUACAUCAUGAAGCCUUUUCAGAUUGGCUUCAUAUAGGUUUCCUUCCUUCCUUCCUCCCACCACCUUCCUUUCUUUCUGUAUUCCUAACUCUUGGAUGUAUUUUCCCCAGCAUCAUGACUUGAUGGGACUUUUGCUAAGAUAGGCAAUCAUAGAAAGUCAUAAAUCUCUUGUCAGCCUUAUUGGCUCACCUCCGAGAUGGUUCCAACACUCUUUAAGGCCCACUUUUCCAAUCCACAGAUUCCCCAGCAGAAGUCCAAGCUGCUGAGCCUCACAUCAUCUUUUGCACUAGUAAUCUUUACCACUACUUCACUGUAGCAUUUGAAAAUUUUCAUAUGAAGCCAUAGUUCUGUGUCUUUUUUUUUUUUUUUUUUUUUUUGGAGACGGAGUCUUAACCUGUUGCCCAGGCUGGAGUGCAGUGGCACAGUCUUAGCUCACUGCAAGCUCCGCCUCACGGGUUCAAGUGAUUCUUGCCUCAGCCUCCCAAGUAGCUGGGAUUACAGGCGCGCCACCAUGCCCAGCUAAAUUUGUUGGCAUUUUUAGUAGAGAUGGGGUUUCACCAUGUUGGCCAGGCUGGUCUCAAACUCCUUACCUCAGGUGAUCUGCCUGCCUCAGCCUCCCAAAGUGCUGGGAUUAAAGGUGUGAGCCACCGCACCUGGCCUGAAGCCAUAGUUCUUAACCUCAGUUGUGCAAUAGAAUUAUCUGGGGAAUUUAAAAAUUAGAAAAAACCCAUGCCCUGAAGAUUGUGAUCUAACUGGUCUUGCGUAGCGCCUGGGCAUUGGUAUUUUUUAAAUGUUUCCCAACUGAUACUAAUGUGGCCAUUCUGCAAGCCACAGUUGAAAGGCUUAUUCAAGCAUCCUGUUGCUGAAUGCAUGUCGUCCUUACCACAUGACUCUGGAGGUUUUCUUGUAUUCUGAUGUGGCUGCCCUGUUGAGGCCUGCCCCUUAGAGUGGAGAUUAUCCCCUGCAGUAGGCUGCCUGGAAUAUGAUCCCCAGUGAUCCCUGCUUCCUGGUAUUCAGGCCCUGGUGUGAUCCCUUUCCCUUGAAGCCUGGGCUGGAUUAGUGACUUGCUUCUAACCAACAGCAUAUGGCAAAAAUAAAUGUUUAUUGUUUUAAACCUCUGUUUUAGGGUCAUUUAUUACACAGCAAAGAUAACGAAUAUACUUUCUGAAAGAAGGGGAGGCUCUUUAGACAGGAACAUGUUCCUGUGGGAGCCACACCUUAUGUUGAUUUUGAAGAAUGGAGGGUCUAAUAAUGUGUCCCCAGGGGAAGUGAUAGGGGGGCCCAGACUGCUUGGGGCUGGAAAGGCAGGUGACAAAUAAGCAGAC
This 4637-nucleotide long non-coding RNA is filed under the name Homo sapiens (human). RNAcentral describes it as "LHRI_LNC1138.7". The record is from RNAcentral. Lineage: Eukaryota; Metazoa; Chordata; Mammalia; Primates; Hominidae.